Molecule: ribosomal RNA, 520 nt
Filed under: uncultured Glomeromycotina
Lineage: Eukaryota; Fungi; Glomeromycota
Description: SSU rRNA
Rfam family: Eukaryotic small subunit ribosomal RNA
Source: RNAcentral
AGCAGCCGCGGUAAUUCCAGCUCCAAUAGCGUAUAUUAAAGUUGUUGCAGUUAAAAAGCUCGUAGUUGAAUUUCGGGGUCAGUAGGUUGGUCGUGCCACUGGCAUGUACUGGCUUCACUGAUUCCUCCUUCUUGUAGAACCGUAAUGCCAUUAAUUUGGUGUUGCGGGGAAACAGGACUGUUACUUUGAAAAAUUAGAGUGUUUAAAGCAGGCUAACGCUUGAAUACAUUAGCAUGGAAUAAUGAAAUAGGACGUUCGAUCCUAUUUUGUUGGUUUCUAGGAUUGACGUAAUGAUUAAUAGGGAUAGUUGGGGGCAUUAGUAUUCAAUUGUCAGAGGUGAAAUUCUUGGAUUUAUUGAAGACUAACUACUGCGAAAGCAUUUGCCAAGGAUGUUUUCAUUAAUCAAGAACGAAAGUUAGGGGAUCGAAGACGAUCAGAUACCGUCGUAGUCUUAACCAUAAACUAUGCCGACUAGGGAUCGGAUGAUGUUAAUUUUUUAAUGACUCAUUCGGCGCCUUAA